GUUACUGGCAGUAGAAUGUGAGCACGUUCGUCUGAUUUCCUCGUAUAAACAGGACAGGGCAGUGAAGUCCAAAGCUCAGUGAAUCCAGCCAAGCCAUAUAGAGAGAACUGGGACAGUCACUUUGAGGGACAGACGGCUGUGAUUCAAGCAAUCUUAAAACCAUGGUCGGUCCUCAUUCUCACCAUGAGAAUGUUUCCACAGAUCAUCAAACUGACAUUUUUUGUGAAAGAACCCACAAAGUCAACAAGAGCCGGACGCAAGUUUGGAGGACCAGUCAAAACCAAACACUGAGGUCUAAAGGGGAACGAAAGUUUCACCUGAAAUUCUUGACGUGAUCUUCUACAGUAGCAAGAGAGGCUGAGUAGGACAGAGCCAUGUUGUAGGCACCAGCCUGGACAGACGAGCCCCAGUUAACCUCUACAAGAAAUAUGUGACUAUUACAUGUCUAUCUCUUUAAUGUGUUUUUUUAAGUUUCUUGAAUAUUGCAUUGGUUUAGACCUAAUUAUUACUGUCAUGAGUUGCUCACUUGGUUUCUUGUACAUAACAUAACCUAAUAAAAAGAAGAUGAUGCCGAAGCUGAUAAGAGCAGCCCACCAGGUAAGCAGGAACAUCAGCACCACAGAGAUAACUGCUCCAAAUAGAGCUGUCCAGAGACUGUAGUAUUUAAAAGAUGGCCUCCACCCUGUGAGUGAGAAUAACAGUAGUUUUGUAGUGAGACAUUGCAUAACAAACCACAAAGAAAUACAUCUACACUCAAAACCAACAAUUCUAUCCAUUUGAAAGAACGAAAGUACAUAAGUAGAUAAUUUAAUAUGGCUACUUCUGGAAUAGGCUUAUUAAUUAUUAUUAGUGAUGAUGUAACUCAUGAUGGAUGCAGCAGAAUGAAUUCAGAAACAUUAAAUUCUAAUUUACAGAGAAAUUAAUCCAUUAUAAUUUGGAGAUAUUUCAUCAUGUGACAAGACAAGUCAUGUCCCAAAACACACUUCCAACCCAACAAAGGACUUUAUCAGGAGGGAAAAGUUGAAGGUUUUAGACUGGCCAUAUCAAUCACCAGACAUUAGCCUUAUUAAGCAGCAUUUUACAUCCUGAAAAGAAGAUUGAAGGCAGAACAACAAACACCUGAAGAGACUGUAGUAAAAGCCUAGAAAAGCAUCACAGUGGGUUGCUUUUUUUGUAAUUCAGUUAUUCAAGCUAAAUUAUGCAACCAAAUAUUAAGUGUUAUUAAUUUUAAUUUAUUCAAAACUGUAUGUUUCUAUACAUUUUCUCAGGUAAGAUUUGAGUGGUCUGUCACCAAAGGUGCCUUGUUUUAAGUUGUUUAACAAUGCGAGGAAAUGAAAUCUUUGAAACCUGUGUCUUCAGUGUAUGGAAAAAACAAUAGAAAUUGUGCUUGCGGUUUCAAUACAUUUUAGAGUUUUCUUUAAAGAGGCAGUUUCAGUCUCAGAGCUUUGUAAUGGUCAGUACAUUUUCCUCCAUGGGGGGCACUUCAGGGCAAAGAACUUACAAGAGUGACAAGAGUGACAUCUUAUGAAUUUUAAGAGGCAGAAAUGCAAAAGCUUGUAAGAGGAACUAUUAUGUGUUUUGCCAUAGAGUAAUUUUCCUGUAGUAAUUUAUAACAGCACACUGUCAUGUUUUAUUUUUUACAUAUGAGUUUUAACAACCAAACAUUAUUCCAGUCAUGUUUAGGAUACACUAAUAUAAUCAGUCAUAACAUUGAGGAGGUUUUUUGUCAAAAGCAGUCCGAGGUAGAUUCUCACCUGGUGAGUUGGUGAUUGAGGCAUGGAAACAGCUGAAGUUGAUAAGAGCAUAGGAGCACAGGAAGAAAUUAGAGAUAAGAGGAGCGAUGACGUUUAACUCGGCUGAAAAGACAUGGAAGUACACAUGGAUAUAGAAAACAGAAGGAACGGAUUAAAUGCAUUGUGUAAUUGAUAAAAAAUAUGAUAAGAAAUAACGUGAAGCAUGAGGGCUGUUUUUUUAAAUAGAAGUAAUUAAAAUGCAUUAGUAAUAUUACAUUCAGACUUACAUAACUUUUUUUAGCUGUUAAAUCUUAUUAAUCUCAAUAAAUCUUGUUAAAUUCAAUGAUAAUGUUUAAAAAAAUUGAGCCAGUAACAAUUUGGAAAACACAUCUAAACACAUUUUAAUAUAUUGUACAUCAGAGGCACAGACUACACCACCACUUAAACUUACCAAUGAGAAUGAAGGCCAAAGCAA
Tachysurus fulvidraco (yellow catfish) is the source of this 2208-nucleotide long non-coding RNA. RefSeq lists it as uncharacterized. The record is from RefSeq and is a predicted model, not a curated record. Lineage: Eukaryota; Metazoa; Chordata; Actinopteri; Siluriformes; Bagridae. The transcript is spliced from 3 exons.